GACGAACGCUGGCGGCGUGCCUAAUACAUGCAAGUCGAACGCUUCUUUCCUCCCGAGUGCUUGCACUCAAUUGGAAAGAGGAGUGGCGGACGGGUGAGUAACACGUGGGUAACCUACCCAUCAGAGGGGGAUAACACUUGGAAACAGGUGCUAAUACCGCAUAACAGUUUAUGCCGCAUGGCAUAAGAGUGAAAGGCGCUUUCGGGUGUCGUUGAUGGAUGGACCCGCGGUGCAUUAGCUAGUUGGUGAGGUAACGGCUCACCAAGGCCACGAUGCAUAGCCGACCUGAGAGGGUGAUCGGCCACACUGGGACUGAGACACGGCCCAGACUCCUACGGGAGGCAGCAGUAGGGAAUCUUCGGCAAUGGACGAAAGUCUGACCGAGCAACGCCGCGUGAGUGAAGAAGGUUUUCGGAACGUAAAACUCUGUUGUUAGAGAAGAACAAGGACGUUAGUAACUGAACGUCCCCUGACGGUAUCUAACCAGAAAGCCACGGCUAACUACGUG
Molecule: ribosomal RNA, 508 nt
Filed under: uncultured bacterium
Lineage: Bacteria
Description: partial 16S ribosomal RNA
Rfam family: Bacterial small subunit ribosomal RNA
Source: RNAcentral